RNAcentral lists this long non-coding RNA (270 nucleotides) under Oryza sativa Indica Group (long-grained rice). RNAcentral's name for it is "lncRNA OsKYG_07g0027830". The record is from RNAcentral. RNAcentral also lists the same sequence under 3 other names. Lineage: Eukaryota; Viridiplantae; Streptophyta; Magnoliopsida; Poales; Poaceae.
AAUUGCUGCGCCGUGCUCGAACAGAUCUCGAUCUCGAUCUCGAUCUCCGCACGCACCAAGGCGAAGCCAAUUCCACUACCACCGCUCUUCCUUCUUCUCACUCCUUCUCGCGACUGCGGCGAGGGUGAGUCUCCUGUCGUGAGAAUUUCGGUCUACCGGCGGCGGCGGCGGCGUUGGGUGUUCUUCGCGUCGUCAGACGUCGGGAUCUGCGCUUGCUCCAUGUGCUCUCGCACUAUGGGGUUCGACGUGGCAACUCAACCAUCUUCUUAG